GAUGAACGCUGGCGGCGUGCUUAACACAUGCAAGUCGAACGAAGCACUUUAUUUGAUUUCCUUCGGGACUGAUUAUUUUGUGACUGAGUGGCGGACGGGUGAGUAACGCGUGGGUAACCUGCCUUGUACAGGGGGAUAACAGUUGGAAACGGCUGCUAAUACCGCAUAAGCGCACGGCAUCGCAUGAUGCAGUGUGAAAAACUCCGGUGGUAUAAGAUGGACCCGCGUUGGAUUAGCUAGUUGGUGAGGUAACGGCCCACCAAGGCGACGAUCCAUAGCCGACCUGAGAGGGUGACCGGCAACAUUGGGACUGAGACACGGCCCAAACUCCUACGGGAGGCAGCAGUGGGGAAUAUUGCACAAUGGGCGAAAGCCUGAUGCAGCGACGCCGCGUGAGCGAAGAAGUAUUUCGGUAUGUAAAGCUCUAUCAGCAGGGAAGAUAAUGACGGUACCUGACUAAGAAGCACCGGCUAAAUACGUG
RNAcentral lists this ribosomal RNA (481 nucleotides) under uncultured bacterium. RNAcentral's name for it is "partial 16S ribosomal RNA". It matches the Rfam family "Bacterial small subunit ribosomal RNA", at positions 28 to 507 of the family's 1533-position model. The record is from RNAcentral.